Molecule: ribosomal RNA, 460 nt
Filed under: uncultured bacterium
Lineage: Bacteria
Description: partial 16S ribosomal RNA
Rfam family: Bacterial small subunit ribosomal RNA
Source: RNAcentral
CCUACGUGAGGCAGCAGUGAGGAAUAUUGGUCAAUGGGCGCGAGCCUGAACCAGCCAAGUAGCGUGAAGGAUGACUGCCCUACGGGUUGUAAACUUCUUUUAUAAAGGAAUAAAGUGAUGCACGUGUGCCUUUUUGUAUGUACUUUAUGAAUAAGGAUCGGCUAACUCCGUGCCAGCAGCCGCGGUAAUACGGAGGAUCCGAACGUUAUCCGGAUUUAUUGGGUUUAAAGGGAGCGUAGAUGGGUUGUUAAGUCAGUUGUGAAAGUUUGCGGUUCAACCGUAAAAUUGCAAUUGAUACUGGCAGUCUUGAGUACAGUUGAGGUAGGCGGAAUUCGUGGUGUAGCGGUGAAAUGCUUAGAUAUCACGAAGAACUCCGAUUGCGAAGGCAGCUUACUAAACUGCCACUGACAUUGAUGCUCGAAAGUGUGGGUAUCAAACAGGAUUAGAUACCCGUGUAGUC